This 866-nucleotide long non-coding RNA is filed under the name Homo sapiens (human). Its description in RNAcentral is "HSALNT0085045". The record is from RNAcentral. Lineage: Eukaryota; Metazoa; Chordata; Mammalia; Primates; Hominidae.
GUAUGGCUUAAACUUCAGUUACCACAGUAUAUUAACUAUGCAUAACCCCAUAAAGUACACACUUCACUGCUAGCUCUUUAGUCCAUGAAUCACUACACAAAUAAAAGAUGAUCAAUGACCAAUCACAUCACUUCUUUUGAAAUCUGCUGGUGAUUGGUCACCAUGCAUCAGUUAAAAGGAGUAAGCAUGUGGUUGUGUUGCUUCCUUGUCUUCAGUGAUAAACCCACAUGACAUUUCGCAAAACUAGAUAAUAGGAAGUGGAAACUGACCAACAAAGAUCAAAGUCCAGAGGAGAACAGAAAGUGACAAGGUAAAGAGUAAAGUUUGCAUGAAAAGUAAAUGGAAUUUUAGAAGGUAUAGAUGUGGCCAUCUCCACCGUGUAUCCACCACGUGGACACUGCAAUCAGGGGAACUUAGUGACCGAGAACUUACCGACAUGAAUGAGGAGAGUGGUUGUGACAAAAAGGAUGAUGAUGUCCCAGAGGAAGUGAUGCUGGCAAAAAACUUUACAUUAGAGGAACUCUUGGAGAUAUUUCAUGACAUUGGAAGCAUAAAGAAUAGAGUUCAAAGCCCAUCCAAACUUCGAAAAGAUUAUGAUAAUUCACCAAGACAUAGCAAAGAUACUCACUCCAUGUUGUCAAUUAUCACAUGAGAAGAAGGCAAGCACUGUUUAAACUACUUUUGGCAAAACAAGAAUGAUAAUAGGCAUGUCUCAAGGUUGCUGUGUGGACCAGCUAAAGCCCUAUGUAAGAAAGCACUUCACAUACAGAAGAGGGGCCUACAAAUUUGAGAACUAGUCCAGCAUAUUCUGGUUGGGUUCACCUUCUCUCUGAUCAUCCACCAUUGGCCACCUUUGGGUGACAUCU